GGAGUGUUGGCUCAGUCAGUAGAGCUUCCGCCUCACAACCGGGAGGUCGUGGGUUCGAACCCCGGCCGCGUCA
Non-coding RNA from Strongylocentrotus purpuratus (purple sea urchin), 73 nucleotides. The record is from Rfam. NCBI's taxonomy places the organism in Eukaryota, Metazoa, Echinodermata, Echinoidea, Camarodonta, Strongylocentrotidae.